GACGAACGCUGGCGGCGUGCUUAACACAUGCAAGUCGAACGGAAAGGCCCCGCUUUUGUGGGGUGCUCGAGUGGCGAACGGGUGAGUAACACGUGAGUAACCUGCCCUUGACUUUGGGAUAACUUCAGGAAACUGGGGCUAAUACCGGAUAGGAGCUCCUGCUGCAUGGUGGGGGUUGGAAAGUUUCGGCGGUUGGGGAUGGACUCGCGGCUUAUCAGCUUGUUGGUGGGGUAGUGGCUUACCAAGGCUUUGACGGGUAGCCGGCCUGAGAGGGUGACCGGCCACAUUGGGACUGAGAUACGGCCCAGAAGCGUACGGGAGGCAGCAGUGGGGAAUAUUGCACAAUGGGCGGAAGCCUGAUGCAGCAACGCCGCGUGCGGGAUGACGGCCUUCGGGGUGUAAACCGCUUUCGCCUGUGACGAAGCGUGAGUGACGGUAAUGGGUAAAGAAGCACCGGCUAACUACGUG
This 468-nucleotide ribosomal RNA is filed under the name uncultured bacterium. RNAcentral's name for it is "partial 16S ribosomal RNA". It matches the Rfam family "Bacterial small subunit ribosomal RNA", at positions 28 to 507 of the family's 1533-position model. The record is from RNAcentral.